AAGCGUGCGCAGGCGGUUUUGUAAGACUGUCGUGAAAUCCCCGGGCUCAACCUGGGAAUGGCGAUGGUGACUGCAAGGCUAGAGUUUGGCAGAGGGGGGGUAGAAUUCCACGUGUAGCAGUGAAAUGCGUAGAUAUGUGGAGGAACACCGAUGGCGAAGGCAGCCCCCUGGGUCAAAACUGACGCUCAUGCACGAAAGCGUGGGGAGCAAACAGGAUUAGAUACCCGAGU
RNAcentral lists this ribosomal RNA (230 nucleotides) under uncultured bacterium. RNAcentral's name for it is "partial 16S ribosomal RNA". It matches the Rfam family "Bacterial small subunit ribosomal RNA", at positions 563 to 791 of the family's 1533-position model. The record is from RNAcentral.